UGCAAGUCGAGCGGAAACGAUGUAGCUUGCUACAGGCGUCGAGCGGCGGUGGGAGAGUAACGCGUAGGAACCUACCUAGUAGUUUGGGAUAGCCCAGAGAAAUUUGGAUUAAUACCGAAUACGCCCCACGGGGGAAAGCGGAGGAUCUUCGGACUUCGCGCUAUUAGAUGGGCCUGCGUAAGAUUAGCUUGUUGGUGAGGUAAUGGCUCACCAAGGCAACGAUCUUUAGCUGGUUUGAGAGGAUGAUCAGCCACACUGGGACUGAGACACGGCCCAGACUCCUACGGGAGGCAGCAGUGGGGAAUAUUGCACAAUGGGCGAAAGCCUGAUGCAGCCAUACCGCGUGUGUGAAGAAGGCUCUAGGGUUGUAAAGCACUUUCAGUAGGGAGGAAAGGUUGUAGAUUAAUACUCUGCAGCUGUGACGUUACCUACAGAAGAAGGACCGGCUAACUCCGUGCCAGCAGCUGCGGUAAUACGGAGGGUCCGAGCGUUAAUCGGAAUUACUGGGCGUAAAGCGUACGUAGGUGGUUUGUUAAGUUGGAUGUGAAAGCCCCGGGCUCAACCUUG
This 567-nucleotide ribosomal RNA is filed under the name uncultured bacterium. RNAcentral's name for it is "bacterial SSU rRNA". It matches the Rfam family "Bacterial small subunit ribosomal RNA", at positions 56 to 617 of the family's 1533-position model. The record is from RNAcentral.